CAGCAGCCGCGGGAAUACGAAGGGUGCAAGCGUUACUCGGAAUUACUGGGCGUAAAGCGUGCGUAGGUGGUGGUUUAAGUCCGUUGUGAAAGCCCUGGGCUCAACCUGGGAAUUGCAGUGGAUACUGGGUCACUAGAGUGUGGUAGAGGAUAGUGGAAUUUCCGGUGUAGCGGUGAAAUGCGUAGAGAUCGGGAGGAACAUCAGUGGCGAAGGCGGCCAUCUGGGACAACACUGACGCUGAGGCACGAAAGCGUGGGGAGCAAACAGGAUUAGAUACCCGCGUAGUCCCUGUCUCUUAUAC
This 301-nucleotide ribosomal RNA is filed under the name uncultured bacterium. RNAcentral describes it as "partial 16S ribosomal RNA". It matches the Rfam family "Bacterial small subunit ribosomal RNA", at positions 509 to 807 of the family's 1533-position model. The record is from RNAcentral.